CAGGCGGCCACUGCCCCACCCCCGCCCCAGCAUCUGGGCUGCGCCAGGGACGCGCAGCCGCGGGCGUCAGAGUGUUGGCCCACCCUCAGGUUGAUUCUUCUUGACAAACUUGACCAAGCUUGUAGACACUGAGUCCCCAGAACACUGAGGCUGACAGAGGGACUUUCGAGAGCACCAGCCACCAGCUGGAGUGGAUGCCCAGAAGUCCCUCAAGGCAAGAAGACCCAGAGCCAGCAAGACUGAAACAAAAAGCAAAGGAGCAUGCAUGGAUGGAGAACUUGCUGCAAGCAAAACCCUGCCCCAGCCCUGAGGGGACCUCCAGGAGGCAAGGACCGUGGACCUGUUGCUGAUGGAGGAAAGAACCAGAGGAGCAAAUCGUUUGCACACAGAGUGAGCCAGUUUGCAAUCCAGGAGGAAAAGGAGUCAACAGUCAUAGUGUCAACCAAGGAGAUUGCCUUCAACCAUGAAAGAAAGGCAGAGGGAACGUGGAAGAGAAGAGAGAGGCCAGGAGAGGCUACCAGGUGUAUUGCUAUGUGACAGAGGGACAAAGGAGCACCAGCAGCCAGCCCCAGAACUCCAGUCUUCAGGAAGAAAACGUCGUCCCAAUGAUACCUUCCUUGAUUUUGGCUUCAUCCUAGCAUCAAAACCGUGAGCCAAUCUUCAAAUUGAGAAGGAAAGUACCCAAAGAACCACAUCUGAGGAGCCUCAUUCACACCUGGAAUUGAUUUAUAUAAAGAAAUCCUGGACUUUGAGCCUAAGGGUGAUGCAAAUUGGAAUGAGACUUGGGGGGACUUGGGUAGAGGUGGGCAUUUUACAUAAGAAUUGUUGUGACCAAAAGGGCUAAAUGUGGCAUCUCCAAAGAUGGCCACAACAAUAGCUCCCACCCAUAGGCUCUUCUACUAAGUGACCUUGCCAUUCUACCAUCAAGAAAUGGAGUCUAAUUCUCCUUUAUUUUAAUCUAUGACUGCUUCAGCCAAAAGGAAGUGAUGCUGUAUAACUUCCAAAGCUAGCGUCUGCCUUGUUUCCUGGAAUUCACAUUUAGAACUCUGAGCUGCACCUUAAGCACCUUAAGGCUACCUUAAGACCACCUUAAGGCUACCAUGCUGGGAGGAAGUCCAAGCCACACAGAACUACCACAUGCAGGUACUCUGUUGUCAACCCCCAGACAUGAGUGAAGCUGCCUCCAGCCAUCAAGCCUUCCCAGCUGAGCCUCCAGCAGUGACACAUCAACCCCACUGUGCCUGUCCAAGUUCCUGACUUACAGAAUCAGUGAGCAUAAUAAAAUGGCUGUUGUCUGAAGUCACUAUAUUUGGGGGAGUUUGUCAUACCACAGAAGAUGGAUUGAUGGAUGGAUGAGGAGAUGAAUAG
Long non-coding RNA from Choloepus didactylus (southern two-toed sloth), 1368 nucleotides. RefSeq lists it as uncharacterized. The transcript is spliced from 7 exons. The record is from RefSeq and is a predicted model, not a curated record. Lineage: Eukaryota; Metazoa; Chordata; Mammalia; Pilosa; Megalonychidae.